ACAUGAGUGGCUCAGUGGGUAGAGUACAGGACUUGCACAUGUGAGGCCCUGGGUUCAAUCCCCAGCAUGUC
RNAcentral lists this transfer RNA (71 nucleotides) under Erinaceus europaeus (western European hedgehog). It matches the Rfam family "tRNA". From Rfam's summary of the family: Transfer RNA (tRNA) molecules are approximately 80 nucleotides in length. The record is from Rfam by way of RNAcentral. Lineage: Eukaryota; Metazoa; Chordata; Mammalia; Eulipotyphla; Erinaceidae.